AAAGAUCACAGCCAUUUUCACACAGCGCUCCCCCGACACAGUGAUGCCUGGAGACGGGAAUGUCUGGAAUCUUAGAGGAAGGAAUCACACACCGACAAGCACGGCAGGCUUAGUCUUUGAAACUUAAUCAGAACCUGCUGGAGUGCAGUGGCGUGAUCCCAGCUUGUAGCAACCUCUGCCUCUCGGGUUCAAGCGAUUCUUCUGCCUCAGCCUCCAGAGUAGCUGGGAUUAUAGGCAUGCCACCAUGCCCGGGAGAUACAUCCAGAAACCUGCAUUACAAUUUCAAAUCAAAGCUGGACAAGUUUUUUUUUUUUACACAGACAUCACCAUGUUAGAAAAGUUGGACAAGUUUUGAAACCAUUCUGAACCUAUCAUUCCUGUCUUUCAAAUCCUUCCAAGGCAUCUUAUUAUUGAUUUGUUUCUAUAUUUUCCUCAUUAUUAAAGAGGUUGAGUAUCUUUUCUCUAGA
Symphalangus syndactylus (siamang) is the source of this 467-nucleotide long non-coding RNA. RefSeq lists it as uncharacterized. Lineage: Eukaryota; Metazoa; Chordata; Mammalia; Primates; Hylobatidae. The record is from RefSeq and is a predicted model, not a curated record.